RNAcentral lists this ribosomal RNA (267 nucleotides) under uncultured Desulfomicrobium sp. Its description in RNAcentral is "partial 16S ribosomal RNA". It matches the Rfam family "Bacterial small subunit ribosomal RNA", at positions 1118 to 1382 of the family's 1533-position model. Lineage: Bacteria; Pseudomonadati; Thermodesulfobacteriota; Desulfovibrionia; Desulfovibrionales; Desulfomicrobiaceae. The record is from RNAcentral.
CCAGCACAUAAUGGUGGGCGACUCUGUGGAGGACUGCCCGGUUAACCGGGAGGAAGGUGGGGAUGACGUCAAGUCAUCAUGGCCCUUACGCCUAGGGCUACACACGUACUACAAUGGUGGGUACAAAGGGCAGCGAAACCGCGAGGUCGAGCGAAUCUCAAAAAACCCAAUCAUAGUCCGGAUUGCAGUCUGCAACUCGACUGCAUGGAGUUGGAAUCGCUAGUAAUCCCGGAUCAGCAUGCCGGGGUGAAUACGUUCCCGGGCCUU